Molecule: ribosomal RNA, 497 nt
Filed under: uncultured bacterium
Lineage: Bacteria
Description: partial 16S ribosomal RNA
Rfam family: Bacterial small subunit ribosomal RNA
Source: RNAcentral
GAUGAACGCUGGCGGCGUGCCUAAUACAUGCAAGUCGAGCGAACAGACGAGGAGCUUGCUCCUCUGACGUUAGCGGCGGACGGGUGAGUAACACGUGGAUGACCUACCUAUAAGACUGGGAUAACUUCGGGAAACCGGAGCUAAUACCGGAUAAUAUAUUGAACCGCAUGGUUCAAUAGUGAAAGACGGUUUUGCUGUCACUUAUAGAUGGAUCCGCGCCGCAUUAGCUAGUUGGUAAGGUAACGGCUUACCAAGGCAACGAUGCGUAGCCGACAUGAGAGGGUGAUCGGCCACACUGGAACGGAGACGCGGUCCAGACUCCUACGGGAGGCAGCAGUAGGGAAUCUUCCGCAAUGGGGGAAAGCCUGACGGAGCAACGCCGCGUGAGUGAUGAAGGUCUUCGGAUCGUAAAACUCUGUUAUUAGGGAAGAACAAAUGUGUAAGUAACUAUGCACGUCUUGACGGUAACGAAUCAGAAAGCCACGGCUAACUACGUG